This 253-nucleotide unclassified non-coding RNA is filed under the name uncultured Flavobacteriaceae bacterium. Its description in RNAcentral is "contains 16S-23S intergenic spacer region". It matches the Rfam family "Bacterial small subunit ribosomal RNA", at positions 524 to 776 of the family's 1533-position model. Lineage: Bacteria; Pseudomonadati; Bacteroidota; Flavobacteriia; Flavobacteriales; Flavobacteriaceae. The record is from RNAcentral.
UACGGAGGAUCCAAGCGUUAUCCGGAAUCAUUGGGUUUAAAGGGUCCGUAGGCGGGUUAAUAAGUCAGUGGUGAAAGUCUGCAGCUCAACUGUAGAACUGCCAUUGAUACUGUUGUCCUUGAGUUAUUGUGAAGUGGUUGGAAUAUGUAGUGUAGUGGUGAAAUGCAUAGAUAUUACAUAGAACACCGAUUGCGAAGGCAGAUCACUAACAAUAUACUGACGCUGAUGGACGAAAGCAUGGGGAGCAAACAGG